This 406-nucleotide ribosomal RNA is filed under the name uncultured bacterium. RNAcentral describes it as "partial 16S ribosomal RNA". It matches the Rfam family "Bacterial small subunit ribosomal RNA", at positions 32 to 526 of the family's 1533-position model. The record is from RNAcentral.
AUUCAACGCUGGCCGUAGGCCUAACACAUGCAAGUCGGGCGACCGGCGGACGGGUCCGUAAUGUAUGGGGAUCUGCCUGAUGGAGGGGGCUAACUACUGGAAACGGUAGCUAAUACCGCAUACCAUCACAUCAACCCCUAUGUGAUUCGCUAGUAGGGGAGGUAACGGCGCACCUAGGCGACGAUCCCUAGCUGGUCUGAGAGGAUGAUCAGCCACACUGGGACUGAGACACGGCACAGACACCUACGGGAGGCAGCAGUGGGGAAUAUUGCACAAUGGGCGCAAGCCUGAUGCAGCCAUGCCGCGUGUAUGAAGAAGGCCUUCGGGUUGUAAAGUACUUUCAGUCGGGAGGCGUUACCGACAGAAGAAGCACCGGCUAACUCCGUGCCAGCAGCCGCGGUAAUUC